GGCCAGGUGGCUCAGUUGGUUAGAGCGUUAGCCUGUACACCAAAAGGUUGCCGGUUCGAUUCCUGUCCUGGUCA
Non-coding RNA from Myotis lucifugus (little brown bat), 74 nucleotides. The record is from the annotation of a RefSeq genome assembly. Lineage: Eukaryota; Metazoa; Chordata; Mammalia; Chiroptera; Vespertilionidae.